RNAcentral lists this ribosomal RNA (497 nucleotides) under uncultured bacterium. RNAcentral's name for it is "partial 16S ribosomal RNA". It matches the Rfam family "Bacterial small subunit ribosomal RNA", at positions 28 to 507 of the family's 1533-position model. The record is from RNAcentral.
GACGAACGCUGGCGGCGUGCCUAAUACAUGCAAGUUGAGCGCUGAAGGUUGGUACUUGUACCAACUGGAUGAGCAGCGAACGGGUGAGUAACGCGUGGGGAAUCUGCCUUUGAGCGGGGGACAACAUUUGGAAACGAAUGCUAAUACCGCAUAAAAACUUUAAACACAAGUUUUAAGUUUGAAAGAUGCAAUUGCAUCACUCAAAGAUGAUCCCGCGUUGUAUUAGCUAGUUGGUGAGGUAAAGGCUCACCAAGGCGAUGAUACAUAGCCGACCUGAGAGGGUGAUCGGCCACAUUGGGACUGAGACACGGCCCAAACUCCUACGGGAGGCAGCAGUAGGGAAUCUUCGGCAAUGGACGAAAGUCUGACCGAGCAGCGCCGCGUGAGUGAAGAAGGUUUUUGGAUCGUAAAACUCUGUUGGUAGAGAAGAACGUUGGUGAGAGUGGAAAGCUCAUCAAGUGACGGUAACUACCCAGAAAGGGACGGCUAACUACGUG